UACGUAGGGUGCGAGCGUUGCCCGGAAUUAUUGGGCGUAAAGAGCUCGUAGGCGGUCUGUCGCGUCGAUCGUGAAAACUUGGGGCUUAACCCUGAGCUUGCGGUCGAUACGGGCAGGCUAGAGUUCGGUAGGGGAGAUCGGAAUUCCUGGUGUAGCGGUGAAAUGCGCAGAUAUCAGGAAGAACACCCGUGGCUAAGGCGGCUCUCUAGUACGGUACUGACGCUGAGACGCGAAAGCGUGGGGAGCGAACAGG
This 253-nucleotide ribosomal RNA is filed under the name uncultured bacterium. Its description in RNAcentral is "partial 16S ribosomal RNA". It matches the Rfam family "Bacterial small subunit ribosomal RNA", at positions 524 to 776 of the family's 1533-position model. The record is from RNAcentral.